Molecule: ribosomal RNA, 466 nt
Filed under: uncultured bacterium
Lineage: Bacteria
Description: partial 16S ribosomal RNA
Rfam family: Bacterial small subunit ribosomal RNA
Source: RNAcentral
CGACCGCUGGCGGCGUGCUUAACACAUGCACGUCGAACGGAAAGGCCCUGCUUUUGUGGGGUGCUCGAGUGGCGAACGGGUGAGUAACACGUGAGUAACCUGCCCUUGACUUUGGGAUAACUUCAGGAAACUGGGGCUAAUACCGGAUAGGAGCUCCUGCUGCAUGGUGGGGGUUGGAAAGUUUCGGCGGUUGGGGAUGGACUCGCGGCUUAUCAGCUUGUUGGUGGGGUAGUGGCUUACCAAGGCUUUGACGGGUAGCCGGCCUGAGAGGGUGACCGGCCACAUUGGGACUGAGAUACGGCCCAGACUCCUACGGGAGGCAGCAGUGGGGAAUAUUGCACAAUGGGCGGAAGCCUGAUGCAGCAACGCCGCGUGCGGGAUGACGGCCUUCGGGUUGUAAACCGCUUUCGCCUGUGACGAAGCGCGAGUGACGGUAAUGGGUAAAGAAGCACCGGCUAACUACGUG